AAGAUGAGAUACAUCCACAAUACACACCUCCCCUUCGAAGGUCAGAUAGAGUGCGUCAAGCACCUCUGAGAUAUAGUUUUAUCAUUGAGAAUGAUAAUUCAAUCAAUAUCAUUCAAGAUGAUGAUUCACUGAUCUAUUCGGAAGCUGUCAUGAGUAGAGACUCAGACAGAUGGCUGAAAGUCAUAAAAUCUGAGAUAGACUCGAUGAAUACCAACCAAGUGUAGAUCAUGAUUGAUGCACCUG
This 243-nucleotide long non-coding RNA is filed under the name Elaeis guineensis (African oil palm). Its description in RNAcentral is "long non-coding RNA (EGUI_LNC066832)". Lineage: Eukaryota; Viridiplantae; Streptophyta; Magnoliopsida; Arecales; Arecaceae. The record is from RNAcentral.